This 468-nucleotide ribosomal RNA is filed under the name Capnocytophaga granulosa. RNAcentral describes it as "bacterial SSU rRNA". It matches the Rfam family "Bacterial small subunit ribosomal RNA", at positions 28 to 498 of the family's 1533-position model. The record is from RNAcentral. Lineage: Bacteria; Pseudomonadati; Bacteroidota; Flavobacteriia; Flavobacteriales; Flavobacteriaceae.
GAUGAACGCUAGCGGCAGGCCUAACACAUGCAAGUCGAGGGAGAAGCCCUUCGGGGCAGAAACCGGCGCACGGGUGCGUAACGCGUAUGCAACCUACCUUUCACAGGGGGAUAGCCCGAAGAAAUUUGGAUUAAUACCCCAUAAUAUUAUUGGAUGGCAUCAUUUGAUAAUUAAAAUUACGAUGGUGAAAGAUGGGCAUGCGUCCUAUUAGCUAGUUGGAGUGGUAACGGCACCCCAAGGCUACGAUAGGUAGGGGUCCUGAGAGGGAGAUCCCCCACACUGGUACUGAGACAGGGACCAGACUCCUACGGGAGGCAGCAGUGAGGAAUAUUGGUCAAUGGUCGGAAGACUGAACCAGCCAUGCCGCGUGCAGGAAGAAUGCCUUAUGGGUUGUAAACUGCUUUUAUUUGGGAAGAAUAAGGAGUAUCGUGUACUUUGAUGACGGUACCAUAUGAAUAAGCAUCGGCA